Molecule: ribosomal RNA, 1087 nt
Filed under: Lindgomycetaceae sp. A25-17
Lineage: Eukaryota; Fungi; Ascomycota; Dothideomycetes; Pleosporales; Lindgomycetaceae
Description: eukaryotic LSU rRNA
Rfam family: Eukaryotic large subunit ribosomal RNA
Source: RNAcentral
UAAGCAUAUCAAUAAGCGGAGGAAAAGAAACCAACAGGGAUUGCCCUAGUAACGGCGAGUGAAGCGGCAACAGCUCAAAUUUGAAAUCUGGCCCCUUCGGGGCCCGAGUUGUAAUUUGUAGAGGGUGCUUUGGCGUUGGCCAUGGUCUAAGUUCCUUGGAACAGGACGUCACAGAGGGUGAGAAUCCCGUACGUGGCCGCUGGCCUUCGCCAUGUAAAGCCCCUUCGACGAGUCGAGUUGUUUGGGAAUGCAGCUCUAAAUGGGAGGUAAAUUUCUUCUAAAGCUAAAUAUUGGCCAGAGACCGAUAGCGCACAAGUAGAGUGAUCGAAAGAUGAAAAGCACUUUGGAAAGAGAGUCAAAAAGCACGUGAAAUUGUUGAAAGGGAAGCGCUUGCAGCCAGACUUGCUCGUAGUCGCUCAUCUAGGCUUCUGCCUGGUGCACUCUUCUGCGGGCAGGCCAGCAUCAGUUCAGGCGGUCGGAUAAAGGUCUUGGGAAUGUGGCUCUCUUCGGGGAGUGUUAUAGCCCGUGGCGCAAUGCGACCAGCCUGGACUGAGGUCCGCGCAUCUGCUAGGAUGCUGGCGUAAUGGCUGUAAGCGGCCCGUCUUGAAACACGGACCAAGGAGUCUAACAUCUAUGCGAGUGUUUGGGUGUCAAGCCCGAGCGCGCAAUGAAAGUGAACGGAGGUGGGAACCCGCAAGGGCGCACCAUCGACCGAUCCUGAUGUCUUCGGAUGGAUUUGAGUAAGAGCAUAGCUGUUGGGACCCGAAAGAUGGUGAACUAUGCCUGAAUAGGGUGAAGCCAGAGGAAACUCUGGUGGAGGCUCGCAGCGGUUCUGACGUGCAAAUCGAUCGUCAAAUUUGGGCAUAGGGGCGAAAGACUAAUCGAACUAUCUAGUAGCUGGUUCCUGCCGAAGUUUCCCUCAGGAUAGCAGUAACGUUUUCAGUUUUAUGAGGUAAAGCGAAUGAUUAGAGGCCUGGGGGUUGAAACAACCUUCACCUAUUCUCAAACUUUAAAUAUGUAAGAAGUCCUUGUUACUUAAUUGAACGUGGACAUUUGAAUGUACCGUUACUAGUGGGCCAUUUUUGGA